This 238-nucleotide unclassified non-coding RNA is filed under the name air metagenome. RNAcentral describes it as "partial contains small subunit ribosomal RNA, internal transcribed spacer 1, and 5.8S ribosomal RNA". The stretch from base 1 to 46 matches the Rfam family "Eukaryotic small subunit ribosomal RNA", at positions 1786 to 1831 of the family's 1831-position model. The record is from RNAcentral.
AAGUCGUAACAAGGUUUCCGUAGGUGAACCUGCGGAAGGAUCAUUAAAGAAUGCCCCGUUUUUUGAAAUGGGUUCUAUUCCCAAACCGUGUAUACAUACCUUUGUUGCUUUGGCAGGCCGCCUUUUUGGCGUUGGCUCCGGCUAACUGCGCCUGCCAGAGGACCCAAACUCGUUUGUUUAGUGAUGUCUGAGUACUAUAUAAUAGUUAAAACUUUCAACAACGGAUCUCUUGGUUCUG